RNAcentral lists this ribosomal RNA (506 nucleotides) under uncultured bacterium. RNAcentral describes it as "bacterial SSU rRNA". It matches the Rfam family "Bacterial small subunit ribosomal RNA", at positions 384 to 901 of the family's 1533-position model. The record is from RNAcentral.
UGAUGCAACACGCCGCGUGAGGGAUGAAGGCCUUCGGGUUGUAAACCUCUUUUAGCAGGGAAGAAGCGAAAGUGACGGUUCCUGCAUAAAAAGCACCGGCUAACUACGUGCCAGCAGCCGCGGUAAUACGUAGGGUGCAAGCGUUGUCCGGAAUUAUUGGGCGUAAAGAGCUCGUAGGCGGUUUGUCGCGUCUGCUGUGAAAUCCCGAGGCUCAACCUCAGGCCUGCAGUGGGUACGGGCAAACUAGAGUGUGGUAGGGGAGAUUGGAACUCCUGGUGUAGCGGUGGAAUGCGCAGAUAUCAAGAAGAACACCGAUGGCGAAGGCAGAUCUCUGGGCCAUUACUGACGCUGAGGAACGAAAGCGUGGGGAGCGAACAGGAUUAAAUACCCUGGUAGUCCACGCCGUAAACGUUGGGAACUAGAUGUAGGGUCCAUUCCCCGGAUUCUGUGUCCCAACUAACGCAUUAAGUUCCCCGCCUGGGGAGUACGGCCGCAAGGCUAAAACU